UACGGAGGAUGCGAGCGUUAUCCGGAUUUAUUGGGUUUAAAGGGUGCGUAGGCGGACGCUUAAGUCAGCGGUAAAAUUGCGGGGCUCAACCUCGUCGAGCCGUUGAAACUGGGUGCCUUGAGUGGGCGAGAAGUACGCGGAAUGCGUGGUGUAGCGGGGAAAUGCAUAGAUAUCACGCAGAACUCCGAUUGCGAAGGCAGCGUACCGGCGCCCAACUGACGCUGAAGCACGAAGGCGUGGGUAUCGAACAGG
This 252-nucleotide ribosomal RNA is filed under the name uncultured bacterium. Its description in RNAcentral is "partial 16S ribosomal RNA". It matches the Rfam family "Bacterial small subunit ribosomal RNA", at positions 524 to 776 of the family's 1533-position model. The record is from RNAcentral.